CCCGUGGUUGAAUAUGUUAUGUCGGCUUAGCCAAAAGUUGAAGAUUUCGAUGGUCUAGCCCGAAAUGGGAGUGAGAAGUCUCUAAAAAGGCGAGCUGGGCUCAGGGAGCCGCUCUAGGGAAGAAGGAUCCCGGGAUUAAACCUGUUGUGAUGAAUUAGUCCUCCUACUCAAAGUGGUCAUCAACCACUUUCCGUCUUGGAUCUGAGUCAACGGCAUUAGCAUUUUUUUUUUUUUUUUUAUCACUACGCUGUCUGUGAAGCUAGUUUCGCCAUAUUAAAAUUGGGUUUGAGAGUCUUUACUGAUACCUAAUAGGAUAGGUGUAAAAUAGAGGUUUAAAGGUCUAUAAUCCCCUUUCACUCUUUUUCUACAAUCACUGGCGUAACAUAAUUGGAGGAUGCCCUUGCUGCGGAUUCGUCUGGUCAUUGAGAUUCGCCUCUUUUGCUCUCCCAUUCGAAACCUGGCGGAAUUUCUACCCAUCAUCCCGUCCGAAGACCGAACUUGAUUACUAUACAAACACAAAAAACAAUUUGACCCUUUGCAGAUUCUGCCUCGCUGAGUGGUUUUGUAUCACAGUCUUCUAGCCCCGAAGCCUAUCGGAAUAAGGCAGGCCGAAGUGAUAAACUGAUCUAUUGACCCUUUCUUUUUCGGAGUUUGGGUCUAUUACCAGGCUUGGACCAGGUCUACCAAACGGUGACGAACCAAUUCCUCUUUUCGCUUCCGUUACAACUGGAGGUCUUCCGCUUUAGUUGUGUCGCAUACUUCCCCGCCCCCUAACACAAGAAAAUAAGUGAACUUCCUAACGAUUCUAAUCAGGUUUCCUAUUGUUAUUGAUAGGGAUUCAAGUGCGUAAAACACCUCUUCAAGAGAAGACCCUAAGUAGCUGGAUUCUCUCAGAAGCUAUUUACGCGCUUUCAGACCUUCAGAUCCUUCGCCAUAGAAUAAAUCUAUCGGUCUGGG
Molecule: unclassified non-coding RNA, 957 nt
Filed under: Hevea brasiliensis (rubber tree)
Lineage: Eukaryota; Viridiplantae; Streptophyta; Magnoliopsida; Malpighiales; Euphorbiaceae
Source: RNAcentral